Long non-coding RNA from Sinocyclocheilus anshuiensis, 341 nucleotides. RefSeq lists it as uncharacterized. Lineage: Eukaryota; Metazoa; Chordata; Actinopteri; Cypriniformes; Cyprinidae. The transcript has 3 exons. The record is from RefSeq and is a predicted model, not a curated record.
AUCCUCUCUUAAGGCUAUCAAGCUGCCAACUGGCUGACAAGGGCAUGCGUGGUAUGAUGACAUCUAACUCCCAGGAUCUGAAGUGUCCCACUCCUGGCUGUGAUGGCUCUGGGCAUAUCACAGGCAACUACGCCUCACACAGAAGUCUGUCAGGUUGUCCCCGGGCAAAGAAGAGUGGUAUUAAAAUAAUGCACAGUAAGGAGGACAAGGAUGACCAGGAGCCAAUCAGGUGCAUUUUUUAAAUUCCUUCAACUAUCCAAAGUAACUGAAAGUUGAAUUUUGCUUGUUGUAACUUACAGGAGGACUAAGGUUAAAACCGUCCAGUUACUGAGGACAAUUGA